Molecule: ribosomal RNA, 249 nt
Filed under: uncultured bacterium
Lineage: Bacteria
Description: partial 16S ribosomal RNA
Rfam family: Bacterial small subunit ribosomal RNA
Source: RNAcentral
ACUCCUACGGGAGGCAGCAGUGGGGAAUCUUGGACAAUGGGGCAACCCGUGCAUCCAGCCAUGCCGCGUGAGUGAUGAAGGCCCUAGGGUCGUAAAGCUCUUUCGCCUGUGAAGAUAAUGACUGUAGCAGGUAAAGAAACCCGCUACAUCGUGCCAGCAGCCGCGGUAAUACGGAGGGGGUUAGCGUUGUUCGGAAUUACUGGGCGUAAAGCGCAUGCAGGUGGUUUGUUAAGUCAGAUGUGAAAGCCC